UGAUGAUGCUGAGGGCAAUUUCUGGGCAUACUUUUAAAUCUCUCCCAAGCUUGGUAGAGAUUCUCUCCUUCUUUCUGUCUAAAACUCAGAAUCUCAUUUCUCAAAUG
RNAcentral lists this small nucleolar RNA (107 nucleotides) under Capsicum annuum. Its description in RNAcentral is "Plant small nucleolar RNA R71". It matches the Rfam family "Plant small nucleolar RNA R71". Rfam says of the family: R71 is a member of the C/D box family of snoRNAs containing the C (UGAUGA) and D (CUGA) box motifs. Multiple nearly identical copies of this snoRNA have been identified in Arabidopsis, and it is thought to function as a 2'-O-ribose methylation guide for 18S ribosomal RNA. The record is from Rfam by way of RNAcentral. Lineage: Eukaryota; Viridiplantae; Streptophyta; Magnoliopsida; Solanales; Solanaceae.